UGGGGAAUAUUGGACAAUGGGGGGAACCCUGAUCCAGCCAUGCCGCGUGUGUGAAGAAGGCCUUAUGGUUGUAAAGCACUUUAAGCGAGGAGGAGGGUACUGGUAUUAAUACUACCAGGUACUGGACGUUACUCGCAGAAUAAGCACCGGCUAACUCUGUGCCAGCAGCCGCGGUAAUACAGAGGGUGCGAGCGUUAAUCGGAUUUACUGGGCGUAAAGCGUGCGUAGGCGGCUAAUUGAGUCGGAUGUGAAAUCCCCGAGCUUAACUUGGGAAUUGCAUUUGAUACUGGUUAGCUAGAGUGUGGGAGAGGAUGGUAGAAUUCCCGGUGUAGCGGUGAAAUGCGUAGAGAUCUGGAGGAAUACCGAUGGCGAAGGCCGCCAUCUGGCCUAACACUGACGCUGAGGUACGAAAGCAUGGGGAGCAAACAGG
This 430-nucleotide ribosomal RNA is filed under the name Pseudomonadota bacterium. RNAcentral's name for it is "Proteobacteria bacterium partial 16S ribosomal RNA". It matches the Rfam family "Bacterial small subunit ribosomal RNA", at positions 355 to 776 of the family's 1533-position model. Lineage: Bacteria; Pseudomonadati; Pseudomonadota. The record is from RNAcentral.